UGGGGAAUAUUGCGCAAUGGGGGAAACCCUGACGCAGCGACGCCGCGUGUGGGAUGAAGGUCUUCGGAUUGUAAACCACUGUCGCGAGGGACGAAGCUCUGACGGUACCUCGAAAGGAAGCACCGGCUAACUCUGUGCCAGCAGCCGCGGUAAUACAGAGGGUGCGAGCGUUGUCCGGAAUCACUGGGCGUAAAGGGCGCGUAGGCGGCAUGACAAGUCACUUGUGAAAUCUCUGGGCUUAACCCAGAACGGCCAAGUGAUACUGUCGCGCUAGAGUGCAGAAGGGGCAAUCGGAAUUCUUGGUGUAGCGGUGAAAUGCGUAGAUAUCAAGAGGAACACCUGAGGUGAAGACGGGUUGCUGGGCUGACACUGACGCUGAGGCGCGAAAGCGUGGGGAGCAAACAGGAUUAGAUACCCCCGUAGUCCCUGAGCGGGCUGGCAAGGCGCAU
This 449-nucleotide ribosomal RNA is filed under the name uncultured bacterium. RNAcentral's name for it is "bacterial SSU rRNA". It matches the Rfam family "Bacterial small subunit ribosomal RNA", at positions 355 to 825 of the family's 1533-position model. The record is from RNAcentral.